Molecule: ribosomal RNA, 253 nt
Filed under: uncultured bacterium
Lineage: Bacteria
Description: partial 16S ribosomal RNA
Rfam family: Bacterial small subunit ribosomal RNA
Source: RNAcentral
UACAUAAAAUGCAAACGUUGCUCGGAAUUAUUGGGCGUAAAGCGCGCGUAGGCGGUUACUCAAAUCGGAUGUGAAAGCCCUCGGCUUAACUGAGGAAGUGCACCCGAAACUGAGUAGCUAGAGUACCAAAGAGGGUCGCGGAAUUCCCGGUGUAGAGGUGAAAUUCGUAGAUAUUCGGAAGAACACCAGUGGCGAAGGCGACUCACUGGACACGUAUUGACGCUGAGGUGCGAAAGCGUGGGGAGCAAACAGG